Molecule: ribosomal RNA, 465 nt
Filed under: Vreelandella stevensii
Lineage: Bacteria; Pseudomonadati; Pseudomonadota; Gammaproteobacteria; Oceanospirillales; Halomonadaceae
Description: partial 16S ribosomal RNA
Rfam family: Bacterial small subunit ribosomal RNA
Source: RNAcentral
CCUACGGGUGGCUGCAGUGGGGAAUAUUGGACAAUGGGGGGAACCCUGAUCCAGCCAUGCCGCGUGUGUGAAGAAGGCCCUCGGGUUGUAAAGCACUUUCAGUGAGGAAGAACGCCUGGUGGUUAAUACCCAUCAGGAAAGACAUCACUCACAGAAGAAGCACCGGCUAACUCCGUGCCAGCAGCCGCGGUAAUACGGAGGGUGCGAGCGUUAAUCGGAAUUACUGGGCGUAAAGCGCGCGUAGGUGGCUUGAUAAGCCGGUUGUGAAAGCCCCGGGCUCAACCUGGGAACGGCAUCCGGAACUGUCAAGCUAGAGUGCAGGAGAGGAAGGUAGAAUUCCCGGUGUAGCGGUGAAAUGCGUAGGGAUCGGGAGGAAUACCAGUGGCGAAGGCGGCCUUCUGGACUGACACUGACACUGAGGUGCGAAAGCGUGGGUAGCAAACAGGAUAAGAUACCCGAGUAGUC